AACGAACGCUGGCGGCAUGCCUAACACAUGCAAGUCGAACGAGACCUUCGGGUCUAGUGGCGCACGGGUGCGUAACGCGUGGGAACCUGCCUUUAGGUUCGGAAUAACUCCCCGAAAGGGGUGCUAAUACCAGAUAAUGUCUUCGGACCAAAGAUUUAUCGCCUUUGGAUGGGCCCGCGUUGGAUUAGCUAGUUGGUAGGGUAAAAGCCUACCAAGGCGACGAUCCAUAGCUGGUCUGAGAGGAUGAUCAGCCACACUGGGACUGAGACACGGCCCAGACUCCUACGGGAGGCAGCAGUGGGGAAUAUUGGACAAUGGGCGAAAGCCUGAUCCAGCAAUGCCGCGUGAGUGAUGAAGGCCUUAGGGUUGUAAAGCUCUUUUACCCGGGAUGAUAAUGACAGUACCGGGAGAAUAAGCUCCGGCUAACUCCGUG
This 433-nucleotide ribosomal RNA is filed under the name uncultured bacterium. RNAcentral's name for it is "partial 16S ribosomal RNA". It matches the Rfam family "Bacterial small subunit ribosomal RNA", at positions 29 to 507 of the family's 1533-position model. The record is from RNAcentral.